GGUUUAUUGGUUCUGUUUCAAAUUACGCAAUUGACAGACACGAGAAACCAGCGUGUAUAAAUGAGAAGAAUUAUCUAAUUUGUUACCAAUUCGAGUUGAUUACUGCUACGUGCUACCUUACAUUGAAUCAUGCUCAAUCUGGCAAAGAUAUCUAUGCCCAAUCUUCAGCAGCUAUUGUUGGUGUGCUUUAUCAUUUAUACUUUAGCGGUUGGUGACUGGUAUCCCGGCAAAAAAGACAACGAUGACGACAAGAAAAACUAAUGAAAUUUGAAACGGUAGCCUACAGUAGGCUACACGAAUCGUAUUAUAUGAAUUAUUCUACAUAUUAUAGAUAUGAAAAAAUAAAGCCAAUUUACUGAUAA
This is a long non-coding RNA of Nilaparvata lugens (brown planthopper), 362 nucleotides long. RefSeq lists it as uncharacterized. NCBI's taxonomy places the organism in Eukaryota, Metazoa, Arthropoda, Insecta, Hemiptera, Delphacidae. The record is from RefSeq and is a predicted model, not a curated record. The transcript has 2 exons.